Molecule: ribosomal RNA, 529 nt
Filed under: uncultured bacterium
Lineage: Bacteria
Description: bacterial SSU rRNA
Rfam family: Bacterial small subunit ribosomal RNA
Source: RNAcentral
AAUAGAUACCCGGGUAGUCCACGCCGUAAACGGUGAGUGCUAAGUGUUAGAGGGUUUCCGCCCUUUAGUGUUGCAGCAAACGCAUUAAGCACUCCGCCUGGGGAGUACGGUCGCAAGACUGAAACUCAAAGGAAUUGACGGGGGCCCGCACAAGCGGUGGAGCAUGUGGUUUAAUUCGAAGCAACGCGAAGAACCUUACCAGGUCUUGACAUCCUUCGCUACUUCUAGAGAUAGAAGGUUCCCCUUCGGGGGACGGAGUGACAGGUGGUGCAUGGUUGUCGUCAGCUCGUGUCGUGAGAUGUUGGGUUAAGUCCCGCAACGAGCGCAACCCUUGACCUUAGUUGCCAGCAUUUAGUUGGGCACUCUAAGGUGACUGCCGGUGACAAACCGGAGGAAGGUGGGGAUGACGUCAAAUCAUCAUGCCCCUUAUGACCUGGGCUACACACGUGCUACAAUGGAUGGUACAAAGGGCUGCAAGACUGCGAAGUCAAGCCAAUCCCAUAAAACCAUUCUCAGUUCGGAUUGCAGG